Callithrix jacchus (white-tufted-ear marmoset) is the source of this 123-nucleotide non-coding RNA. The record is from Rfam. Lineage: Eukaryota; Metazoa; Chordata; Mammalia; Primates; Cebidae.
GUCUAUGGCCAUACCACCCUGAACCCAACCAAUCUCGUCUGAUCUCGGAAGCUAAGCAAGAUCAGGCCUAGUUAGUACUUGGAUGGGAGAAAUGCCAAACAAAACCACAAGGAGAUAUAGUCU